UACGUAGGGUGCAAGCGUUGUCCGGAAUCAUUGGGCGUAAAGCGCGCGUAGGUGGCUUCGUAAGUCCGUUGUGAAAGUCAAAGGCUCAACAUUUGAAAGCCGAUGGAUACUGCGGAGCUAGAGUACGGAAGAGGCGAGUGGAAUUCCUGGUGUAGCGGUGGAAUGCGCAGAUAUCAGGAGGAACACCAAUAGCGAAGGCAGCUCGCUGGGACGUUACUGACACUAAGGCGCGAAAGCGUGGGGAGCGAACAGG
Molecule: ribosomal RNA, 253 nt
Filed under: uncultured bacterium
Lineage: Bacteria
Description: partial 16S ribosomal RNA
Rfam family: Bacterial small subunit ribosomal RNA
Source: RNAcentral